CACACCCCACCGCCUCCGGGCAGCGGUCUUCCCGCCAUGGCGCUCGCAGCCGCCUCUCGGGGCGCCAGCCAGCGCCUGGGCCGGAGGCGCGCGACGAUUGGACAGCGGAGUCACGUGAGCGCCGCACCACACAUGGGUUUGAUUCCUGGUCCGGGAAGAUCCCACAUGCUGCGGAGCAGCUAAGCCUGUGUGACGUAGUUAUUGAGCCUGAGCCCUAGGGCCUGGGAGCCGCAACUACUGAAGCCCAGGGCCCCAGAGCCCGUGCUCCACAAGAGAAACCACUGCGAUGAGACGCCCGCGCACCGCCUGGAGAGCACUAGCCCCUGCCUGCCGCAGUCAGGGGAAAGGCCGAGCAGCAGCGGAGACCCAGCAGAGUCAAAAACAAAUAAAUAACAGUGUUUAACAAACAAACAGAAAGCCAGGAGUCCGAGCAGAUGGCAGACAAGGGUCGUAGAGAAGCAUCUUACUGGGGUCUGCGUUUGUUUGUUUAUUUAUUAUCGAACAAAGAAAAAGCGGGCUGAGGAGCUGAAGUAAGAAGACCGGUGAAAGUGGUUGCAAAGAGGUCCUGGUUUAGGCCUGAUAGCAGGAGGAAGUGUGUUAAAUUUCUUCUUGCUGUCAGCCAUUCCCAGAGGACAAAGUAUGGACCAUAGUGUCUCACGAUUUCCAGAUUAAGACGACAGUGGUGGGCUGCAACCCAAGAAAAUACUCAGCUCGUUUCCAGCACCUCCAAAUGAGCAGUAUGCCGCCGUUUGCAAGAUGUCCAGGCUGCUGAGCAUCCCAGGUGUGGACGUCCUUGCGCCCUGACUUUCUAGAUGCUGGUCUCUUCAAAGGGUUUUCCAUCACAAGCUCCGUGGCAGCACGUCAUAGCCCCGGGAGCGCUCUGAUAUCCCGAAGUA
Molecule: long non-coding RNA, 896 nt
Organism: Cervus elaphus (red deer)
Lineage: Eukaryota; Metazoa; Chordata; Mammalia; Artiodactyla; Cervidae
Exons: 4
Source: RefSeq, a predicted model, not a curated record